Molecule: ribosomal RNA, 253 nt
Filed under: uncultured bacterium
Lineage: Bacteria
Description: partial 16S ribosomal RNA
Rfam family: Bacterial small subunit ribosomal RNA
Source: RNAcentral
GACAGAGGUGCCAAGCGUUAGGCGGAAUCACUGGGCUUAAAGCGUGUGUAGGCGGAUUUCUAAGUACCUUGUGAAAUCCCACGGCUCAACCGUGGAACUGCUCGGUAUACUGGGAAGCUUGAGCCACUUAGGGGUCGUCGGAACAAGCGGUGGAGCGGUGAAAUGCGUAGAUAUCGCUUGGAACGCCAACGGUGAAAACAGACGACUGGGAGUGUGCUGACGCUGAGGUGCGAAAGCGUGGGGAGCGAACCGG